GACGAACGCUGGCGGCAUGCCUAAUACAUGCAAGUUGAGCGCUGAAGGUUGGUACUUGUACCGACUGGAUGAGCAGCGAACGGGUGAGUAACGCGUGGGGAAUCUGCCUUUGAGCGGGGGACAACAUUUGGAAACGAAUGCUAAUACCGCAUAAAAACUUUAAACACAAGUUUUAAGUUUGAAAGAUGCAAUUGCAUCACUCAAAGAUGAUCCCGCGUUGUAUUAGCUAGUUGGUGAGGUAAAGGCUCACCAAGGCGAUGAUACAUAGCCGACCUGAGAGGGUGAUCGGCCAGAUUGGGACGGUGACACGGCCCAAAGGCCCACGGGAGGCAGCAGGAGGGAAUCGUCGGCAAUGGACGGAAGACUGACCGAGCAGCGCCGCGUGAGUGAAGAAGGUUGUCGGGUCGUAAAACUCGGUUGGUAGAGAAGAACGUUGGUGAGAGUGGAAAGCUCAGCAAGUGACGGUAACUACUCAGAAAGGGACGGCUAACUACGUG
This 497-nucleotide ribosomal RNA is filed under the name uncultured bacterium. RNAcentral describes it as "partial 16S ribosomal RNA". It matches the Rfam family "Bacterial small subunit ribosomal RNA", at positions 28 to 507 of the family's 1533-position model. The record is from RNAcentral.